AUAUAUAUAUAUAUAUAUAUAUAUAUAUAUAUCUAAUUUCUCCUAGCUAACCAAUCAAAAGCUGUAACAAAGGAAAAUUAAUCAACAAAAUUUCAUCUUGAGAAGUGCAGCACUCUUUGAUCAACUAAACCAAACCAGCACUUUGUGCAUAAUCCCGAAUGAAUUAUCGAACCGGAGGCCGAUAGAUACAGUAGCUGAAUUGUGAAUUGUUUGCAAACCAAUUUGAAAAAAUCGACGCAAAAUGGAAAUUUCCAGCUUAUGAUUCUGGAAACCCAAGUGCGGGCCGGGUUCGGGCUUUUAAUUUUUAAACGAAUUAAUGUUGUUUUGCCAGUACAGUACUCUGGUUUGCUUACCAUAUAUAUUUCUUGAAACGAAAAUCAAUUUUGUCGAUUUAAUUUUGUUUGGUGCAAAUUAGAUCACUAAGUACAUAUAUUGAAAAUCAAUGGUAUAUUAAAAUUCAUAAACCGAACCAACAAAAUACAAAUAUCAAACGAUAGAUCUAUUUGUGAUCGAUGGUUUCUUGUUCAGAAAAAGAAAAAAAAAUUGAAAAUCAAACUAUGCUGUUAUGGGGUUUCAUCAGUGCCCCUCUUGUAAAAGGCAACUUCGUCUGCCGACCACCCCUCUAUAUAUAUCUUGUAAUAAAAAAAUUAAGAAAGAAGAAAUUAAUUAAAAAAUAAUGUACAGCUGUAAACUCACUUCCUGAAUACUUUUGCUCAUU
RNAcentral lists this long non-coding RNA (718 nucleotides) under Erythranthe guttata (spotted monkey flower). RNAcentral's name for it is "long non-coding RNA (EGUT_LNC000735)". Lineage: Eukaryota; Viridiplantae; Streptophyta; Magnoliopsida; Lamiales; Phrymaceae. The record is from RNAcentral.